This 253-nucleotide ribosomal RNA is filed under the name uncultured bacterium. RNAcentral's name for it is "partial 16S ribosomal RNA". It matches the Rfam family "Bacterial small subunit ribosomal RNA", at positions 524 to 776 of the family's 1533-position model. The record is from RNAcentral.
UACGUAGGGUGCAAGCGUUGUCCGGAAUUAUUGGGCGUAAAGAGCUUGUAGGCGGUUUGUCGCGUCUGCUGUGAAAUUUCGGGGCUCAACCCCGAACUUGCAGUGGGUACGGGCAGACUAGAGUGUGGUAGGGGAGACUGGAAUUCCUGGUGUAGCGGUGAAAUGCGCAGAUAUCAGGAGGAACACCGAUGGCGAAGGCAGGUCUCUGGGCCACUACUGGCGCUGAGAAGCUAAAGCAUGGGGAGCGAACAGG